This 492-nucleotide ribosomal RNA is filed under the name uncultured bacterium. Its description in RNAcentral is "partial 16S ribosomal RNA". It matches the Rfam family "Bacterial small subunit ribosomal RNA", at positions 29 to 507 of the family's 1533-position model. The record is from RNAcentral.
AGUGAACGCUGGCGGUAGGCCUAACACAUGCAAGUCGAACGGCAGCACAGUAAGAGCUUGCUCUUACGGGUGGCGAGUGGCGGACGGGUGAGGAAUACAUCGGAAUCUACUUUUUCGUGGGGGAUAACGUAGGGAAACUUACGCUAAUACCGCAUACGACCUACGGGUGAAAGCAGGGGAUCUUCGGACCUUGCGCGAUUGAAUGAGCCGCUGUCGGAUUAGCUAGUUGGGGGGGUAAAGGCCCACCAAGGCGAGGAUCCGUAGCUGGUCUGAGAGGAUGAUCAGCCACACUGGAACUGAGACACCGUCCAGGCGCCUACGGGAGGCAGCAGUGGGGAAUAUUGGACAAUGGGCGCAAGCCUGGUCCAGCCAUACCGCGUGGGUGAAGAAGGCCUUCGGGUUGUAAAGCCCUUUUGUUGGGAAAGAAAAGCAGCAGGUUAAUACCCCGCUGUUCUGACGGUACCCAAAGAAUAAGCACCGGCUAACUUCGUG